CCAACAGUAAUGGACCGCACCUAUCGC
Molecule: non-coding RNA, 27 nt
Filed under: Bombyx mori (domestic silkworm)
Lineage: Eukaryota; Metazoa; Arthropoda; Insecta; Lepidoptera; Bombycidae
Source: RNAcentral